Molecule: long non-coding RNA, 219 nt
Filed under: Elaeis guineensis (African oil palm)
Lineage: Eukaryota; Viridiplantae; Streptophyta; Magnoliopsida; Arecales; Arecaceae
Description: long non-coding RNA (EGUI_LNC023851)
Source: RNAcentral
CUUAACCUGUUUGAUUUGACUUCUAAUGGGUCAGGGGAGACGGGGUAUCAAGCUUUAUAUAUCUAUUUAGCUUGGCUUAUAUUGGAGGCUUAUAAUACUUGAAUAUUUUAGAAUGUUUCUACUAAUUCCCGGGAUCUUAUGUGUCAGCUAGUAGUGAUGUAUCAUACGGCCCCAAAUUUGUCAACCACUGAUUGUGCUCCAUCAAAAAAUUAGGAUUGU